UUGCUUCAGUAGCACAUAUACUAUAAUUGGAAUGGUAAAGAGAAGAUUAUCAUGACCCAUGCACGAGGAUGAGAGUCAGAUUUGUGAAGCAUUCCAUAUUUCC
Molecule: small nuclear RNA, 103 nt
Filed under: Mesitornis unicolor (brown roatelo)
Lineage: Eukaryota; Metazoa; Chordata; Aves; Mesitornithiformes; Mesitornithidae
Source: RNAcentral